UUUCGUAAGAAAAUUAGUGCGAAAAUCCUCCAAGUGCAGUGUAAUGUAACAAAGUAACAAACAGAAAAAUGGAUAGAGAAAAGAGGGGAGGGAUCAGAAAUACAGAAUACUGAUAAGAAAAAUAAUCGUGAAUGAUCCGUCCGAUGUCCGAUUCAUCAUUCAUCUCGAUUGAAAAUAAAAAUAUUAAAAUAAUUGAAAAGUCAGAAAAGUGUGAUCUUACAUACAUAAGGUGACGGAGAAUGGAAAAUAAUGAGGAGCCAUCUACAUCUCAUUACAAGUUAGAAAACUCUGCAGAUGAUAAAUCUAAGAAUGACAGUCAAACGGAUGUUGCAAACGAUUUAUCCAAUCUGUCUUUGAGUUCGCUUAAUCGCCAGGAUUCAGAUUCUUUAAAAACAGAUUCUGUUCAAAAUGAAUCAUUUUCGGUAUCUUCGGCGAGUGGCUCGAAAUCUUGCCAUUCUCCUUUAAAUCUUGAAUUACUGAAUGAAAUGGAAGCUGAAGCCAAUAGAAUAGCAGCUUCCGUUGAUGAUCUAACAGAGAACCUUACUGGAAUCUUGAGAAGCAUAUCGGCAUUAACUUUGGACUGUUUAGAGACGUAUCGUAACUGCAUAUGUAAAACUUGCGACGCAAUUGAUUAUAAUAUCAAAUUAAUGUAUCAGUUGAUGGCUAAAUGUGAAGAAUUGAGUAAAAUUGCCGAACCUUUAAAUACUUUAUCGCAAAAUAUUAAAGAUAUAAAGAAUGUUUUGGAUAUGUUCGAAAAUACCAUGAAUCCUUGGUGAAUUUUCGAAAUGGCUGCUGCUCAGUUAGACGGAUCUAUAUCAGAAGAUCAGAUUAAAUCGUUUAAGGAUUUUUUGCUAUCAUAUAAUAAGUUAUCAGAAACCUGUUUUGAUGCAUGCGCAUUCGAUUUCACCCAACGAC
This is an RNA transcript of Planococcus citri (citrus mealybug), 915 nucleotides long. It is a transcript of the gene named translocase of inner membrane 9, with no coding region annotated. NCBI's taxonomy places the organism in Eukaryota, Metazoa, Arthropoda, Insecta, Hemiptera, Pseudococcidae. The record is from RefSeq and is a predicted model, not a curated record. The transcript is spliced from 4 exons.